GACGAACGCUGGCGGCGUGCCUAAUACAUGCAAGUUGAGCGCUGAAGGUUGGUACUUGUACCGACUGGAUGAGCAGCGAACGGGUGAGUAACGCGUGGGGAAUCUGCCUUUGAGCGGGGGACAACAUUUGGAAACGAAUGCUAAUACCGCAUAAAAACUUUAAACACAAGUUUUAAGUUUGAAAGAUGCAAUUGCAUCACUCAAAGAUGAUCCCGCGUUGUAUUAGCUAGUUGGUGAGGUAAAGGCUCACCAAGGCGAUGAUACAUAGCCGACCUGAGAGGGUGAUCGGCCACAUUGGGACUGAGACACGGCCCAAACUCCUACGGGAGGCAGCAGUAGGGAAUCUUCGGCAAUGGACGAAAGUCUGACCGAGCAACGCCGCGUGAGUGAAGAAGGUUUUCGGAUCGUAAAACUCUGUUGGUAGAGAAGAACGUUGGUGAGAGUGGAAAGCUCAUCAAGUGACGGUAACUACACAGAAAGGAACGGCUAACUACGUG
Molecule: ribosomal RNA, 497 nt
Filed under: uncultured bacterium
Lineage: Bacteria
Description: partial 16S ribosomal RNA
Rfam family: Bacterial small subunit ribosomal RNA
Source: RNAcentral